GCGACGACGGGUAGCCGGCCUGAGAGGGCGACCGGCCACACUGGGACUGAGACACGGCCCAGACUCCUACGGGAGGCAGCAGUGGGGAAUAUUGCACAAUGGGCGGAAGCCUGAUGCAGCGACGCCGCGUGAGGGAUGACGGCCUUCGGGUUGUAAACCUCUUUCAGCAGGGAAGAAGCGAAAGUGACGGUACCUGCAGAAGAAGCGCCGGCUAACUACGUGCCAGCAGCCGCGGUAAUACGUAGGGCGCAAGCGUUGUCCGGAAUUAUUGGGCGUAAAGAGCUCGUAGGCGGCUUGUCGCGUCGGUUGUGAAAGCCCGGGGCUUAACCCCGGGUCUGCAGUCGAUACGGGCAGGCUAGAGUUCGGUAGGGGAGAUCGGAAUUCCUGGUGUAGCGGUGAAAUGCGCAGAUAUCAGGAGGAACACCGGUGGCGAAGGCGGAUCUCUGGGCCGAUACUGACGCUGAGGAGCGAAAGCGUGGGGAGCGAACAGGAUUAGAUACCCUGGUAGUCCACGCCGUAAACGGUGGGCACUAGGUGUGGGCAACAUUCCACGUUGUCCGUGCCGCAGCUAACGCAUUAAGUGCCCCGCCG
This 591-nucleotide ribosomal RNA is filed under the name Streptomyces sp. RNAcentral describes it as "bacterial SSU rRNA". It matches the Rfam family "Bacterial small subunit ribosomal RNA", at positions 273 to 873 of the family's 1533-position model. The record is from RNAcentral. Lineage: Bacteria; Bacillati; Actinomycetota; Actinomycetes; Kitasatosporales; Streptomycetaceae.